RNAcentral lists this long non-coding RNA (592 nucleotides) under Mus caroli (Ryukyu mouse). RNAcentral describes it as "CHD2 adjacent suppressive regulatory RNA (MGP_CAROLIEiJ_G0013799.1)". The record is from RNAcentral. Lineage: Eukaryota; Metazoa; Chordata; Mammalia; Rodentia; Muridae.
GCGGCCGGGAGGCGGCUUCGCGCCGUGGGCGGGAGGCUGCGGCGGGCGACCGGUCCUGGACACGCGAGGAAGAGCGAGCCGAUGGCGCCAGCGGCCGCGCUUCGACCCGGUGUGCCAUUUUGAAGACUGAGACCAUAGAGUUUUAAGAAUAAAGGAGAGAGCCCUUGGGAAAUUCUGUAUUAUAUAUAGCAAAAAUGUGAAUCCUCAGAUGGAAUGAAAGGCCUGUACCAUAGACAUCUAAGCAUUUACACCCCGCUUGAAGAGUUUGAAAUGGACUUUACCACUGAGAAAUCAAGAUGGCAGCCCAUUAUGGGGAAUUGAGGAAAAUGGAUUAAUGCAAGAAUGCUGUAAUAUUAUACAACCAACACAGGAUUCUUUUAAUGUGGAUUCCAUGAAAUGAAUGAUUCUUACCCAACACAAAUGGACAGUGGACUUUACUUCCUAAAGACUUGUUACAUGUCAUGUACAUUUUUGACAUCUGGAGAAGACUACAAUUCUACAAAUGGUAGUUUGUAUUCCUGGAAUUUCUUGCAGUUUGAUCUGAAGUGACCUUAUGGAAUGUUAACUUUAAUAAAAUCUCUAAAACUUAAAA